GAUUCAGGAGCGGUUGUGCUUUUCUGGCUUCAGCGUUGCGGCUCAAGGCACAGCUGGUCAUGUGCCUGCUGUCCAUUGCCGCUAAGGCCUGCUGCUGCCAUUCAGGCGUCUCUCUCUCUCUUUCAUGCCGCUUUCUCCACCCCAUCUUGGGACGGCCGGCUCUAAGAAUUCCCGCUACGACACUGAAUUCAACCAGGAGGUGAUGCCACUUGCAAUCAGAAACUAUGCCACUGGUGAAGAAGUAUAUUGAGCCCUGCCUGGUUAACCUCCAGUGAGGUUAUUAGAGAAUUGAGAGAGGCUCAAAUCAGCAUCCUGCACCUAGUUAUCAAACCAUUGUGAAGUCUUGAUUCCUGGAUGGCCAGAAAACAUCUCAUUGGUCAAGAGCAACAUUAAGAUCUGCCUGUUAUCAUACUGAUGCUUCCUGCCCAGCAAGUUCAUCAGAGGAAGAGGAUGAAUUACGGUUGCCAUGGAUGUCCUUGUGAGGCAGUUGGGAAGCCUUGGCUGGAUUGUGAAGGAUAUUUGGAAAGUAUUUUAGAGUCCACCAGAUCCUCCAUGUGAAUGACCAUGCAGCAAAAGAAGGAGGGUCCUGUCAGUGAUUAAGGUAACAUAGUGAUUAAGGUAAGUAGGGGAAGAGAGGCUUACUUUGCCCUGAUUCUUGUCAGGGAGGCUCUCAGAACUGCCAUUUCCAGAGCAUAAGUGACAGGCCAGCACUUUCAAAGCCUGCAACUUAUUCUAUAAUAUAUCCUUCUUAAAACAAUUCAUGUAGAUUAUAUGCUUAUCCAGUCUGUGAUCACUCCUGCAGAAGAUCAGAAGAACUGAAAUAUGGGUGACAUAGGCUCUUACUUUUGUAAAUAUUUUGUUGAAACACAGUUGUGUUCGUUCAUUAUUGUCGAUGGCAGCUUUCAUGCUACAGCAGAGAUGAGUAGUUGGGAGAGAAACCAUAUGGACCAUGGAGUUUGAAAUAUUACUGUCUGGCCCUUCACAGAAAGUUUGCCAAUUCCUGGCAUAGGUUAAAUAAAUGUACUAUGUCUACAAAUCCUCCUCUCCCC
Molecule: long non-coding RNA, 1049 nt
Filed under: Piliocolobus tephrosceles (Ugandan red Colobus)
Lineage: Eukaryota; Metazoa; Chordata; Mammalia; Primates; Cercopithecidae
Description: lncRNA (ENSPTEG00000018223.1)
Source: RNAcentral